Molecule: long non-coding RNA, 424 nt
Filed under: Rattus norvegicus (Norway rat)
Lineage: Eukaryota; Metazoa; Chordata; Mammalia; Rodentia; Muridae
Description: long non-coding RNA NONRATT007406
Source: RNAcentral
CAGGGACCUGUUUCUAUCCUGCCUGCAUCGCCUGAUGCUGGUGGCCUUGCUGGUACUGCUGCUAACCUGGAAGCUGUUGCAGAAAGCCCAUCACUCCAGUCUGGGCUGGCUGCACAGCCAGAGUUCUAUGCUCCUGGAAGCCCUGGCUUUGCUGAGACGCCUCUACCUGUGGGUGGAGCACAGGACCACACUCACUUCCUGGAACCUGGCCUAUCUUGUCACUUGGACUACCUGUCUCGCUUCCCACCUGCUUCAAGCUGCCUUUGAGCACACAGCCCAACUGGCCCAGGCCCAGGAGGUCUCAUUCGAGGAGACCUCAGAGCCCUCAUCUCAGUUCUUAAUUCCAGAAUCCUCCACCACCGAGUCUGGACCCCUCCCUUCCCAGCCUGAAACCCCCGGAGAAUAAAUGUGUCCCCCACCUGCC